GAAUAUUGUUAUAGCCCGGUGGUAAAAGCUUCUUGUUCAAAAUCCUUUCGACCAAAAGCUUGCUGCUUUGAAAGGUUUUUCCCAAAAGUUAGACUUUUCAGUCCCAAACCUUAAGUUCCAUCUGCAUUUCAUUCUUUUUACAUAAUUUUAUUGACUUCAGCACAAUUUUUUCUGACGUGAAAUGCACAAGCCAACUUUUCAACGGGUUAAGUAGGAAUAACACUAUGCUUAACACCUAACAUAAUAUUUCAGACCUAAAUAUUUCGAUCAUUCUAAAUCUGAAAGAAAGACAUUUUUAUUUUUAUUUUACGCACAAAUCUGG
RNAcentral lists this long non-coding RNA (322 nucleotides) under Olea europaea (common olive). RNAcentral's name for it is "long non-coding RNA (OEUR_LNC011555)". Lineage: Eukaryota; Viridiplantae; Streptophyta; Magnoliopsida; Lamiales; Oleaceae. The record is from RNAcentral.